GCGGAAUCUUGCGCAAUGGGCGAAAGCCUGACGCAGCCAUGCCGCGUGAAUGAUGAAGGUCUUAGGAUUGUAAAAUUCUUUCAGCAGGGACGAUAAUGACGGUACCUGCAGAAGAAGCCCCGGUAACUUCGUG
RNAcentral lists this ribosomal RNA (133 nucleotides) under uncultured bacterium. RNAcentral's name for it is "partial 16S ribosomal RNA". It matches the Rfam family "Bacterial small subunit ribosomal RNA", at positions 356 to 507 of the family's 1533-position model. The record is from RNAcentral.